RNAcentral lists this non-coding RNA (565 nucleotides) under Pan troglodytes (chimpanzee). The record is from RNAcentral. Lineage: Eukaryota; Metazoa; Chordata; Mammalia; Primates; Hominidae.
AACCGACAAGUACACGCCCCUUCUCGCACUCCACUAGCUAGUAAGCUGAGCUACAAGGUGUGCCAGGCACCCAGGACGCCGAUUCACUGCUUCAGUGAAGGCCCAGCUCAAAUGCCACCUCUUCCAUGAAGAUUUCCGUGAUCCACAAUGAUAGCAUCUCCAGCAAUUGCUUCUAUAAUGAAUAGCAUGAGUCAUUCUGCAGGAUAUUGAUCUUCCUUUUUUUACUCCUAGACUGAAUUUUUCCACCACCUGGAUGAACAUAGCAGAAAGAACAUAGUGUUUUAGAGUCAGACACAAUAGGAAUCAGGCACUUUGGAAUCUUGGCUCUGCCACCUUUGAGCUAUCCCAAGUCAAACACCCAUCAGACCUUUGCCAGGUGUCCAGCCUGGGCACUACGUUUCAGAAAAUGAUGCACAUAGAAUCCCUAACUGAAAGGAGAUCGCAGCUCAUUUGGUACAAAGUGGCUGAUUCUUUGACUGGUGAGCCACUCCCCAGGCAGGCAUAGCAUCACAGAGUUUCUGAGAAGGUACACCCUGGAUGCAAAGCGGUGUUGCUGAAAGACUCC